RNAcentral lists this ribosomal RNA (642 nucleotides) under Triticum aestivum (bread wheat). RNAcentral describes it as "partial small subunit ribosomal RNA". Lineage: Eukaryota; Viridiplantae; Streptophyta; Magnoliopsida; Poales; Poaceae. The record is from RNAcentral.
AUGUUUGGACAUCUCCUGUUGCAAGUAAUACGGGCUUUCUUUAUUAUCUUGUCAUACUUGACGAUUUUUCGCAUUAUGUGUGGACCUUCCCGUUGUGCCGCAAGUCGGAUGUUGCAUCCACUCUCGCCGCUUUCUAUUUUUAUGUUCUCACGCAGUUUGGUCGUCCCAUUCUUGCAUUGCAGACAGAUAACGGGAAGGAGUUUGACAACAUCACUGUUCGUAACCUUCUCACCACACAUGGCACGAUUUUUCGUCUCACUUGCCCGUACACCUCGCAGCAGAAUGGUCGUGCUGAGCGCAUCCUUCGCACUCUUAAUGACUGCGUUAGGACUCUUUCAUGCCAAUGUGCCGCCGCGCUUUUGGCCUGACACUCUCGCCACCGCUUCUCUCCUCAUCAACAUCCGUCCAUGUCGUACUCGCGGGAACUUUGCACCUCAUCAUCUUCUUUUCGGUGCGCCUCCCUCUUAUGAUGGGCUUCGCAUUUUCGGCUGCCUUUGCUACCCUAGCAUCGCUGCGACUGCGCCUCAUAAGCUCGCACCCCGCUCCGUCACCUGCAUCUUUCUCGGCUACCCACCUAACACCAAGGGCUAUCACUGCUAUGAUCCCGUCUCCCAUCGUGUUUUCACCUCCCGACACGUAUAA